ACUCCUACGGGAGGCCGCAGUGGGGGAUAUUGCGCAAUGGGGGCAACCCUGACGCAGCAACGCCGCGUGAAGGAUGAAGGUUUUCGGAUUGUAAACUUCUUUUAUUAAGGACGAAAAUGACGGUAC
RNAcentral lists this ribosomal RNA (126 nucleotides) under uncultured Bacillota bacterium. Its description in RNAcentral is "uncultured Firmicutes bacterium partial 16S ribosomal RNA". It matches the Rfam family "Bacterial small subunit ribosomal RNA", at positions 335 to 478 of the family's 1533-position model. Lineage: Bacteria; Bacillati; Bacillota. The record is from RNAcentral.